Transfer RNA from Pisolithus microcarpus 441, 85 nucleotides. It matches the Rfam family "tRNA". Rfam says of the family: Transfer RNA (tRNA) molecules are approximately 80 nucleotides in length. Their secondary structure includes four short double-helical elements and three loops (D, anti-codon, and T loops). Lineage: Eukaryota; Fungi; Basidiomycota; Agaricomycetes; Boletales; Pisolithaceae. The record is from Rfam.
GGCCGCCUGGCGAAAUGGUAUCGCGUCUGACUACGGCUGCAAGCGGUCGAUCAGGAGAUUGUAGGUUCGAAUCCUGCGGCGGUCA